This 403-nucleotide ribosomal RNA is filed under the name uncultured bacterium. RNAcentral describes it as "partial 16S ribosomal RNA". It matches the Rfam family "Bacterial small subunit ribosomal RNA", at positions 28 to 526 of the family's 1533-position model. The record is from RNAcentral.
GACGAACGCUGGCGGCGUGCCUAAUACAUGCAAGUCGAACGCAGUGGGGACGGGUGAGUAACACGUGGGUAACCUCCCAUCAGAGGGGAUAACACUUGGAAACAGGUGCUAAACCGAUAAGGAUUGAUGGCCCCGUGGUGCAUUAGCUAGUUGGGGAGGUAACGGCUCACCAAGGCCACGAUGCAUCGCCGAUCCGAGCGGGUGAUCGGCCACACUGGGACUGAGACUAGGCCCAUACUCCUACGGGAGUCAGCAGGAGGUAAUCUUCGGCAAUGGACGAAAGUCUGACCGAGCAACGCCGCGUGAGUGAAGAAGGUUUUCGGAUCGUAAAACUCUGUUGUUAGAGAAGCGGUAUCUAACCAGAAAGCCACGGCUAACUACGUGCCAGCAGCCGCGGUAAUAC